This 424-nucleotide ribosomal RNA is filed under the name uncultured bacterium. RNAcentral describes it as "bacterial SSU rRNA". It matches the Rfam family "Bacterial small subunit ribosomal RNA", at positions 97 to 510 of the family's 1533-position model. The record is from RNAcentral.
GGCGCACGGGUGCGUAACACGUAACUAACCUACCCAUCAUUGGGGGAUAGCCCGCCCGAAAGGCGGAUUAAUACCGCUAUAAGACUAUAGAGUGGCAUCACUCAGUAGUUAAAGAUUUAUUGAUGAUGGAUGGGGUUGCGGGUCAUUAGCUAGUUGGUUGGGUAACUGGCUGACCGAAGGCGACGAUGACUAGGGGAGCUGAGAGGCUGGUCCCCCACACGGGCACUGAGACACGGUGCCCGACUCAUACGGGAGGCAGCAGUGAGGAAUAUUGGUCAAUGGACGCAAGUCUGAACCAUGCCUAUGCCGCGUGAAGGAUGAAGGCGUUAUGCGUUGUAAACUUCUUUUAUCUGGGAAGAAACCUGAGUAUUCUUAUUCAGCCGACGGUACCAGAGGAAUAGCACCCUGGCUUAACUCCGUGCCA